AUUCUUCAGCCCCGGGAGAGCAUCAGAGCUCACAGACAAGUUAUCCCAACUAAGGAGCCGUCACCUCCUCCUCCAUCCAGUGGUCCUCUGUUGGUAUCAGGACUAGAAGCUCCAAAGGAUAGCAAGCAAGCCAUGCUGGAAAAAGAUAAUCUGUUGUCCCCUUUUGUCAGGCUGAAGAGACUGGACAUCCCACAGGAAGAGGAGCCUUCCCCACACCAAAAAAGCCCCGAAGAGCUGCAGGACCCGAAUGUCGAAUGGGAAGUGGUGAAAGACCAGCGAGCCCGGCUGCGGGUCCUGGAGACCAGACCGCAGAGCGCAGAAGAGAGGACAGCGGUGGAACAGGAGGC
This is a long non-coding RNA of Euleptes europaea (tarantolino), 347 nucleotides long. RefSeq lists it as uncharacterized. NCBI's taxonomy places the organism in Eukaryota, Metazoa, Chordata, Lepidosauria, Squamata, Sphaerodactylidae. The transcript has 3 exons. The record is from RefSeq and is a predicted model, not a curated record.